AGACAAAUGGGGCUGAGCUCUCUCU
Molecule: non-coding RNA, 25 nt
Filed under: Cricetulus griseus (Chinese hamster)
Lineage: Eukaryota; Metazoa; Chordata; Mammalia; Rodentia; Cricetidae
Source: RNAcentral